Molecule: ribosomal RNA, 1671 nt
Filed under: Vollenhovia emeryi
Lineage: Eukaryota; Metazoa; Arthropoda; Insecta; Hymenoptera; Formicidae
Description: eukaryotic LSU rRNA
Rfam family: Eukaryotic large subunit ribosomal RNA
Source: RNAcentral
AAAGGGUGUUGAUUGAUAUAGACAGCAGGACGGUGGCCAUGGAAGUCGGAAACCCGCUAAGGAGUGUGUAACAACUCACCUGCCGAAUCAAUCAGCCCGAAAAUGGAUGGCGCUUGAGCGGGGACCUAAGCCCAACCGUUGUUGGCUUGUACGUUUCGUGCGUCUGGCCUCAACGAGUAGGUGUGUCGCGGCGGUUAGCGUCGAAGGCUUAGGGCGUAGGCCCAGCUGGAGCUUCCGUCGGUGCAGAUCUUGGUGGUAGUAGCAAAUAAUCAAGUGAGAAUCUUGAUGACUGAAGUGGAGAAGGGUUCCACGUGAACAGUAGUUGAAUGUGGGUUAGUCGAUCCUAAGAUACUGGCUAAUGCCUUGUAUCAUUGACGUCGAGCCUCGUGCUUCUCGUCUAAUAUCGAAAGGGAAACGGGUUAAUAUUCCCGUACCUGUAAAUGUGAAUUUGUGAGCGCAAGCUUGCAUUGGCGGUAACGCAUUCGAACUUGGCGAUGCUAUGUGUGAUCCGGGCUAGAGAUCUCUUCUCUAGUUAAGGAACGGACUCCCUGGAAUCGGUUCAGCCGGAGGUAGGGACGUUGUUUCCGUAUAGUGCCACGGUUUCUGUGGUAUCCCGUGUAUCGCGCAUGGCCCUUGAAAAGCCAAGGGAGCAAUUCAAUUCACAUUACUGAUCGUACCCAUAUCCGCAGCAGGUCUCCAAGGUUCGUAGCCUCUAGUCGAUAGAAUAAUGUAGAUAAGGGAAGUCGGCAAAAUUNGAUCCCUACCUUCGGAAUAAGGAUUGGCUCUAAGGACCGGUCUGAACGGGCUUUGCAAUGAAGCUUGGUUGAUGGCGCUUUGAUUGGGUUGGCUCUCGGGUCGGCUUGAUCUAAUGGCGUCGUUGCCUUGUGGACUUGCCUUGCUGCGUGCUGGCGUUUCGGCGUCAGUACUUCGUUCGACACUUAACGGUUGACUUAGAACUGGUACGGACUCGGGGAAUCCGACUGUCUAAUUAAAACAGAGGAGAUAGAUGGUCCUUGCGGACGUUGACUAUCUCUGAUUUCUGCCCAGUGCUCUGAAUGUUAACGUGGAGUAAUCUGCAUAAGCGCGGGUAAACGGCGGGAGUAACUAUGACUCUCUUAAGGUAGCCAAAUGCCUCGUCAUCUAAUUAGUGACGCGCAUGAAUGGAUUAACGAGAUUCCCACUGUCCCUAUCUACUAUCUAGCGAAACCACAGCCAAGGGAACGGGCUUGGAAAAAACAGCGGGGAAAGAAGACCCUGUUGAGUUUGACUCUAGUUUGACUCUGUGACGAGUCUUGAGAGACGUAGUAUAAGUGGGAGACUUCGGUCGCAAUUGAAAUACCACUACUUUCAUCGAUUCUUUACUUAUUCGGUAAUGCGGGGAUUGGAGCUCGUUCUCCUUCCUUCUGGUGUUAAGCGUCGGCUCUCGGAGCUUUCGCGACCCGGACCGAAGACAGUGUCAGGCCGGGAGUUUGACUGGGGCGGUACAUCUAUCAAAACGUAACGUAGGUGUCCUAAGGUGUGCUCAGAGGGGACGGAAACCUCUCGUAGAGCAAAAGGGCAAAAGCCCACUUGAUCUUGAUUUUCAGUACUAAUACAGACCGCGAAAGCGUGGCCUAUCGAUCCUUAAAACCUUGAUGGUUUCAAGUUUGAGGUGUCAGAAAAAUUACCACA